UGAAAAGUGCUGUAAAUGACAGAAUCUUUCUUCUAACAGAUUUGACAAACAUGGAGGCUGAACCUGUGAAUGAUGGAAGCUUUUUAUUGGCUUACCAAAAGCAAUGGCUUUUACAACUUGUACAACUAAAAUGAACAGUAAAAACAAAAACACAUCAUGAUGCAAGUUGCUGAGUAAUCACAUAUCCUUCUGCAGCACUGGGACCAAUUGAGAACCAGUUUAAGCUGAGAGGGUUACUCUGUGGGGUAGCCUGCAAGAUGCCCCUUCGUGGGAGCCAGGACCAUCUGUGCACAUGACUGAAGAGAGGCUGUUCCUAGAAGAAAGGAGUUUUCAGGGGUUGUAGUUCCUGGGGCUUGAGAGUCCGAGGUGUGUAAUUAGGGAUUCCCAUGGCAACAGGGUUGUGGGAUCUGCCAGUGCAAAAAAGCAAGGUGAAUGCAAGGUGAAGGACAGAAAAUGCCUGGGAGAGGCAGCAAGAGGAGGUACCAGCUGCAGCCCAUAUCUCCUCAGGAGCUGGUCCUGGGAGUGGCUUGUACUUAAUUUGACAAGUUAGACUUGAUUCAGGAUAAUUUCCAAUGUGAGAAAGAAUUGAGGACUACCUCAUAAUAGUAAAAUCAUUACCAAGAAGAAAGGUAAAGUGAUUUAGAAUACAAGACAUAUAGUUAAACACAGUUCAAGAGUAAGCACUGAAAUUAAUUUUGG
Molecule: long non-coding RNA, 699 nt
Filed under: Coturnix japonica (Japanese quail)
Lineage: Eukaryota; Metazoa; Chordata; Aves; Galliformes; Phasianidae
Description: lncRNA (ENSCJPG00005015914.1)
Source: RNAcentral